Molecule: ribosomal RNA, 239 nt
Filed under: uncultured eukaryote
Lineage: Eukaryota
Description: partial small subunit ribosomal RNA
Rfam family: Eukaryotic small subunit ribosomal RNA
Source: RNAcentral
AGCUCCAAUAGCGUAUAUUAAAGUUGUUGCAGUUAAAAGCUCGUAGUUGGAUUUCUGGUGGGCGCGCCCGGUCCGCCCCGAGAGGGGUGAGCACUGGCGGCGCCGUCCGCCAUCCUUGGGGAGAGGCGGCCUGGCAUUCAUUUGUCGGGUCGUGGAUCCCCAUCGUUUACUGUGAGAAAAUUAGAGUGUUCAAAGCAGGCUUACGCCUUGAAUACAUUAGCAUGGAAUAAUAGUCGAGG